GACAGAGGGUGCAAACGUUGCUCGGAAUCACUGGGCGUAAAGCGCGUGUAGGCGGGCGAUCAAGUCAGUUGUGAAAUCCCUGGGCUCAACCUAGGAACUGCAUCUGAAACUGGUCGUCUUGAGUGUCGGAGAGGGAAGCGGAAUUCCGGGUGUAGAGGUGAAAUUCGUAGAUAUCCGGAGGAACACCGGUGGCGAAGGCGGCUUCCUGGACGACUACUGACGCUGAGACGCGAAAGCGUGGGGAGCAAACAGG
RNAcentral lists this ribosomal RNA (253 nucleotides) under uncultured bacterium. RNAcentral's name for it is "partial 16S ribosomal RNA". It matches the Rfam family "Bacterial small subunit ribosomal RNA", at positions 524 to 776 of the family's 1533-position model. The record is from RNAcentral.